GCCCAUGGGCCAAACAAAGCACCUGGAUUGGUAAGAUUAGCAUGAAUCAGAUAGACCAAUAAGAACUGAGAUCAACACAAGUACUCAACCAGUCAAUGAAAUGUAGGCUAGCCAAGGUAUUAAUAUUUACAAUCAGAACACUAUUUUUUCUAGAAUGAAUCCAAAAUAUCAUGUGCACAUAGUUCAAUUCAUAUCCCUGGAUAUUCUGAUUGCAAAACUCUACAUAAAUAAGUCUAUUGCCCCUAUCAAGCAGAAUUGUGCAAAUGACAAGUAAAACUACGACAUGGAUAAAUCUGCAAAUGAAAAAGAACCAAGCAGAUGGAGCAAUAUUCAUAAAGUCAAUAUUCUCUGCCAAUAAAAGUUUGCCAGAGUAUUGGUACCUAUAUGAACUACACCAUUUGCUCCCUUAUUAUCAAAGGGAGUGUAUAUCAGCUCAUAAAUGGACUACUUCAUUGGUGAUAUGAGCAUUUAUGCAAGCCAAAUCAAGGACCAGGUUACAUCAUUAUUCAUUACUGAAGCCCACAACAAUGGUUGGAAGGAGCAACCAAGCAUCAGUACAGGCAGAACCCGAAUAGUUCGAUCGACAACCAUUUUUAGCAACGGACUAGCAAAUGCAACGCACCAAGUGAACUGGUUGAUUGAAUUCAUGAAGCAAGGGCAUAGCCGUGUGAAACCAUCCUUUAAUACAAUUACAUUCCAUACUCCUAUUAAGAAAAAAGGCGAGAAGAAUGGACUGACAGAACAAGCGUUCUGUCCACCUUUGAUGAUGCCCAGGAGGA
This 779-nucleotide unclassified non-coding RNA is filed under the name Zea mays. RNAcentral's name for it is "misc RNA Zm00001eb246260". The record is from RNAcentral. Lineage: Eukaryota; Viridiplantae; Streptophyta; Magnoliopsida; Poales; Poaceae.